CCUACGGGAGGCAGCAGUGGGGAAUAUUGGGCAAUGGAGGAAACUCUGACCCAGCAACGCCGCGUGAAUGAUGAAGGUCUUCGGAUUGUAAAGUUCUUUUCUAAGGGAUGAAGAAAGUGACGGUACCUUAGGAAUAAGCCUCGGCUAACUACGUGCCAGCAGCCGCGGUAAUACGUAGGAGGCAAGCGUUAUCCGGAAUGACUGGGCGUAAAGGGUGCGUAGGUGGUUUGACAAGUUGGUAGCGUAAUUCCGAGGCUUAACCUCGGCGCUACUACCAAAACUGUUGGACUCGAGUGCAGGAGGGGUAAGUGGAAUUCCUAGUGUAGCGGUGGAAUGCGUAGAUAUUAGGAGGAACACCAGUGGCGAAGGCGAUUUGCUGGACUGUAACUGACACUGAGGCACGAAAGCGUGGGGAGCAAACAGGAUUAGAGACCCCUGUAGUC
This 443-nucleotide ribosomal RNA is filed under the name uncultured bacterium. Its description in RNAcentral is "partial 16S ribosomal RNA". It matches the Rfam family "Bacterial small subunit ribosomal RNA", at positions 338 to 795 of the family's 1533-position model. The record is from RNAcentral.